GUAGGUACAUGGAUUAUUUUGAAUAUAAUGCAUCACACAAUGAUGUCUUGCUAAAUUGUGAUGAGCUCGAAUUUCUUAUCAAGUAAGUGUAUAAAUUCUUAUACCUUUAUAGUGAUUAUCUCAUUAGAAUGAUAAUUUGUAGCUACUAAUGAAUUGUUAUACAAUUAUAGGUAAUAUGAUGAUUAUGUGAGGGCAUGCUAUCUUUCGACAAGCGAUAAAAAGGUGGAAAGGUUUCAUGAACGGGAGUUUGCAAGUUGAUUAAAAUAG
Molecule: long non-coding RNA, 267 nt
Filed under: Elaeis guineensis (African oil palm)
Lineage: Eukaryota; Viridiplantae; Streptophyta; Magnoliopsida; Arecales; Arecaceae
Description: long non-coding RNA (EGUI_LNC039013)
Source: RNAcentral